This is a long non-coding RNA of Sapajus apella (tufted capuchin), 2225 nucleotides long. RefSeq lists it as uncharacterized. NCBI's taxonomy places the organism in Eukaryota, Metazoa, Chordata, Mammalia, Primates, Cebidae. The transcript has 3 exons. The record is from RefSeq and is a predicted model, not a curated record.
GAAGAUUGCAGUGAGCCAUGAUCACCCUAUUGCACUCUAGCCUGAGCAACAAGAGUGAAACUCCAUUAAAAGAAAAAUCCAGGAAGGCACAGAAGCAUUUUUGAAGUCUUGAUCAAAUAAAAUAAGUAUCAACAGCCUUUAGUUUCUUAUCGAAGCUGUCACUGGUAGUUAAUAUCUGUGUGGUCCUCGUGUCUGAACAUUUCACAGGAUUCCAAAAGGAAUGAUCUCAACAGCCAAGAAAUGUUAUAAAGGGUCGUUCUGGGAAGCUGUAUGCAUCAACAAAAACAAUCUUAAGUGAGUAAAUGGAAUUGUGCACUGAAAGGAGUCAAUUUUAUGAUGCACUCAUAUUCUUAACUGUGGAGUAGCUUUGAAAAUACAUUUGUGGUAAGAAUUUCUAAGAACGUUAUCACUAAAGAUGACAAAGUAUGGCAACGUUAAUGUGAUACCCCACUGCAUAGUAAAGACAAAUCUUUCUCUAUGUUCAUAUUUAACCACACUGCAUUUAAGGAAAUUUCAUUACCAAGAGAAAGCAAGUUAAACAGAGAAGAUCCAGAAAGAAAUAAAUGCAUAGGGUUAGACUCCAGGAAAAGUGAGUGCCUGCCUUACAUACCUAAAGUUAUUAGAGAAUAAAGCAUUUCACAGAAAGGUAUCUAGAUUGAUGGAAAUCUCCCUAUUUAAUGACCAAAUUAUUAAAUGAUUUUGGAGGAAAAUUAAUAAACUGAAUUACACUGCACCCACUUCUUCAAAAUCAUGUCAAAUAGAAAAACAUUUUGUUGACAUGAUUAUUAUGAAUAUGAAUCAUUGUAUCAUAUUAUAAAAUAAGAAAGUCCUGAGUACUUAUAAAGUUUUGGAGUUUUUCACUGUUCCCAGAUGCCUACACUUUCAGAAUUUUGAUGUCUGAAUUUUAAUAUUCUUUUUUUCUUUCUUCUUUCUUCCUUUUGAGCUGCCAUUUAUCUCUUCCUGUUACUGCUUGAGUGCUUCAAUGAUUGGUUACAACGCUCUUGUGCCCUUAUUUGCUAAGAGGCAUUGUGUAAAAAGUUGGAGUCAACGAGUAAAAAGUUAAAGCCACCUUUGGUAAAUUGACUUUCUAAGCAGUAUUUGCCAGCUAUUUUAGAUCCUCAGAAAAUCUAAUUUUCUCUCUCUCAUUUGCUUUUACUCAUUUUUGUGUAUCACACUUUGCCCUGCAAACAGAGGCAGUCUCAUGUUUGAUGUUAAAGUGUAUACUAUUACAUGUGUGUGUAUACAUAAUACAUAUGCACACAUGUUACGCACAUACAUAUAUACAGUGUAAGUACAAAGUCUAUAGUGUGGAGAAGAAAAAGAGUUGUUAGUUAGUUUAUGAUUUAAUAAGAGAAAGUUGUACCUACUUUAUAUACUUGAAGAUGUAGCAAGGAGAGUGAGAAUGAGAAAAAGACUUCAAUAUAGAAAUUUUAGAUGAAUUGCAGCACUGAUAUUUAAAUCUGAAAUUUCAACUGGAAAAGAAUUUCAAUGUAAAGAUUUAAAAUUGUCUUUUAAAAAUUUGGCCCAUUUUAUAUUCUAUAGUACUUCCAAAUUACAUGGACUAGGAUGUUUCAGUCAUAAAAAUGUAAUGUCUUGAAACAAACAAAUGACUAACACAAUUUAUGAUAUGUAGAGAAAAUUCCUGUAGAUAAUAAUCAUGAGUCACUUGAAGCCAGGAACCAGCUUUUUAUCUUCAUCUUUUUUGUCACAUCUAACCUAGCAUUGCACAUAGAAGAUACUCAAAAAAGGCUUUUGAAAGAAUGACUAUCAGUCUUGGACAAACUCAAAACUCAUAGCUGGCUGCCUGGCUAAAUAGAUGAAUAUAUGCAUGGAUAUAUUAAAAAAUAUGUUAGGAAAAACUUCUUCAUUAGCUAUUCAAUCAAUUGUAAACAAAAAACACUUCAUUCCUUCCAAAGAUAUUUAUAGAGUCAUUAAAAUAAAUAGAUCAAUAGGAAAGUCUAUGCUCUAAAGAAGAUUAUACUUCCUUUGAAGAAUGCAAUAUACAUUAUGAUAUCUAAGGCUUGUUUAUUUCUGUAAUAUUUGGCAGUACAGCUGCUUAAAAUGUCAAAUAAAACUGAAAUGUAUAAAAUUUUGUAACAUUAUUUUUGACAUUUAUUACUUCCUUUCACUCAGAAUAGCUGAUGUAGUUUGUAAACUUUAAAAUACAGUUUCACUUCUCCUUAUUAUUUUCUGCUUUCAAAGAGCAAAAUCCUUAUAAAAGAGAU